AAUANUGAGAAAACCCAAGAAGUUGCCUGGUGAAGUCAUUUCAGAAGAGUACUCUUUAGAGUAUGGAACAGAUAAAAUUGAGAUGCAUGUAGGAGCUGUUGAAGCUGGAGAACGCGCUCUUGUGAUAGAUGAUCUCAUUGCAACUGGGGGAACCUUGUGUGCAGCAAUAAGACUACUUGAGCGAGUUGGCGUGGAUGUGGUCGAGUGUGCUUGUGUGAUUGAGCUGCACGGACUAAAGGGUCGUGAAAGAUUGGGAGACAAACCUCUGUUUGUUCUAGUUAACGCAGCAGCAUGAUCGCAGAGCCUUCUUCUGUAACACGACGUGUUCAGUAACGACAAUAUUAUCACGUACCGCUGCUGGAAGUUGAAGUUUCAAAGUAAUGCAUAAUUUUGAAGCCGAGAGUGUUGCUAGAAAUAAAAGGGAUGGUAUUAAUUUUGAAUAUCUGCAGAAACUUCUUUACUUUGAAGUUAA
This is a non-coding RNA of Cucurbita pepo subsp. pepo (vegetable marrow), 472 nucleotides long. NCBI's taxonomy places the organism in Eukaryota, Viridiplantae, Streptophyta, Magnoliopsida, Cucurbitales, Cucurbitaceae. The record is from RefSeq and is a predicted model, not a curated record.